AUUGAACGCUGGCGGCAUGCCUUACACAUGCAAGUCGAACGGUAACAGGUCUUCGGAUGCUGACGAGUGGCGAACGGGUGAGUAAUACAUCGGAACGUGCCUAGUAGUGGGGGAUAACUACUCGAAAGAGUGGCUAAUACCGCAUGAGAUCUACGGAUGAAAGCAGGGGAUCGCAAGACCUUGUGCUACUAGAGCGGCCGAUGGCAGAUUAGGUAGUUGGUGGGAUAAAAGCUUACCAAGCCGACGAUCUGUAGCUGGUCUGAGAGGACGAUCAGCCACACUGGGACUGAGACACGGCCCAGACUCCUACGGGAGGCAGCAGUGGGGAAUUUUGGACAAUGGGCGCAAGCCUGAUCCAGCAAUGCCGCGUGCAGGAUGAAGGCCUUCGGGUUGUAAACUGCUUUUGUACGGAACGAAAAGCCCUGGGUUAAUACCCUGGGGUCAUGACGGUACCGUAAGAAUAAGCACCGGCUAACUACGUGCCAGCAGCCGCGGUAAUACGUAGGGUGCGAGCGUUAAU
Molecule: ribosomal RNA, 520 nt
Filed under: uncultured bacterium
Lineage: Bacteria
Description: bacterial SSU rRNA
Rfam family: Bacterial small subunit ribosomal RNA
Source: RNAcentral